This 1126-nucleotide long non-coding RNA is filed under the name Homo sapiens (human). RNAcentral's name for it is "long intergenic non-protein coding RNA 1198". Lineage: Eukaryota; Metazoa; Chordata; Mammalia; Primates; Hominidae. The record is from RNAcentral.
ACAUCCCCUGAGAAUUCUCUCGCCUGCCUUAGGCACUUAGGCUCCGGGAGAUUGCAAAUAACCUGCUUUCUUUCUGUUCCCGGGCUGCGUUCGGACUCCUGUCAGAUAGUAAAUCCUAAGUAAGGUGGCGUCGGACCCCUGUCAGAGAGUAAAUCUCAAGUAAGGUACCUGCCAUCGGCAGAUUUGAGCUUUCUUCUUGGACACCUAAUACCCACAGUCCUCCAGGCUCCGGUAGACUGCAAAUGACCUGCUUUCUUUCUGUUCCCGGGCUGCGUUUGGACCCCUGUCGGAUAGUAAAUCCCAAGUAAGGUACCUGCCCUCGGCAGAUUUGAGCUUUCUUCUUGGACACCUAAUACCCACAGUCCCCCAGUAAAUCCCAAGUAAGGUACCUGCCCUCGGCAGAUUUGAGCUUUCUUCUUGGACACCUAAUACCCACAGUCCUCCAGGAAUGGAACAGAUAAGAAGAUACUGAAAUUGGACGGUGCUGCCGUGCGGCUGCCGCAGGACACCUUUAAUAUCCCUGUUUCUCAGGCUGUAGAUGAAGGGGUUCAGCAUGGAGGUGAUCACCGUGUACAUCACUGAGGCCACUGCAGCCUUUCUCGGGGAAGAUGACACAUCUGAACUGAGGUACCCUCCAAAGCCUGUUCCGUAAAAUCAGCAAACAACUGACAGGAUAACUUCAGGAAGUGGGUAUUAAUUCUCACGGUAUAAGUGAAGACAUUAAGCACCAGAGUUUAAGUAGCUUGAUCCACUGAAAGAGAUUCAACUGUGUGGAACCUAUGCCGUGGAGAAUUGCUUUCUGCCAUUGUUAUCGUCCAGCAGUUGCCGAAUAGCUCUGACCUGAGCAAAGCAGUGAAACGCGGUGCUGUUGAGUGGGUUGCCACUGCACCUUUUUCAACUACUCUAGUCUUGUGGAGAAAAUACCCCUUCUAAAUUUUUUCUUCAUUGAAUACUCUCCCUCAGCUCCAGAGUACCAUAUAGAGUUUUCUUGUAUUUUAGAGUUACUGUUUUAUCAAAGUUUACCAGUCUUUUGUAUUACAUUUCUCCUGUCUAAAUCGACUGUGUGGUUUCUACUCAUUAUGGAUAUAGAUUGAUACAAACUCAAUAAAUAUUUUUGAAUGAAUAA